Salvia hispanica is the source of this 304-nucleotide non-coding RNA. NCBI's taxonomy places the organism in Eukaryota, Viridiplantae, Streptophyta, Magnoliopsida, Lamiales, Lamiaceae. The record is from RefSeq and is a predicted model, not a curated record.
CCUCUUGCAUCUUCUUCUCACACUGCACAAAGAAAAAACAAGGGAAAAUUCAAAACGAGAAGAAGGUAGCAGCAAUACAGAUUAUCCAAAUAGCAGGACGGUCCAACUGGUUAAUUUAAAGAUAGAGUCUGUAUCAAAAAGGACAGCUGCUCAAGGAGAGAAUAACAUGGUCAAUUAUUUCUGCAAUAUCAACUUCUGAAUGCAGAAACCAGAUGAAUAAACAUCAUAGAAAGACAGAAGCUACUGACAAGAACUGCAAAAGAAGAGCAAACCCAGAAAGAUAGGAGAAGAAAAGAUGAAGAAA